Molecule: non-coding RNA, 233 nt
Organism: Peptoniphilus indolicus ATCC 29427
Lineage: Bacteria; Bacillati; Bacillota; Tissierellia; Tissierellales; Peptoniphilaceae
Source: Rfam
AUAAACGUACAAAAAGAAGAGUACCUUUCUAAAAAGAUUACAGAGAGCUUCGUUGUGGUGAAAGAAGUAGAUUUUGAAAUUGGGAAUAUGGCCUUUUUAUGGACUUGCUAAGCUUAUUGUUAGGCGAGUACGGGAUUGCCCGUUACAGCAGAGGGUAUUGAUAGAUACCUAUUGAGUUCAUUAGUGGAAGCUAAUGAAAAAUUAAGGUGGUAACACGAGCUUUCGUCCUUAUA